GAGUUUGAUCCUGGCUCAGGACGAACGCUGGCGGUGCGCCUUAUGCAUGCAAGUUGAGCGAAGCUUUUUGGUAGUUUACUACUAGAAAUGACUGAGCGGCGAACGGGUGAGUAACGCGUGAGCAAUCUACCUUAGUUACUGGGAUAGCCCGAGGAAACUCGGAUUAAUACCGGAUAUUCUUAUUUUUUCACAUGAAGUUUUAAGGAAAGGUCAGCCGAACUAAGAUGAGCUCGCGUUCUAUCAGCUAGUUGGUGGGGUAAAAGCCUACCAAGGCUACGACGGAUAGCUGGUCUGAGAGGACGAUCAGCCACACUGGGACUGAGACACGGCCCAGACUCCUACGGGAGGCUGCAGCAGGGAAUAUUGUGCAAUGAGCGAAAGCUUGACACAGCGACACCGCGUGUGGGAUGACGGUUCUAGGAUUGUAAACCACUUUCAGGAGGGAAGAAAAUGACGGUACCUCCACAAGAAGACCCGGCCAACUAUGUGCCAGCAGCCGCGGUAAUACAUAGGGGUCAAGCGUUGUCCGGAUUUAUUGGGCGUAAAGAGCUCGUAGGCGGUUCAACAAGUCGGUCGUAAAAGUUUAGGGCUCAACCCUAAAAUGUCGAUCGAUACUGUUGUGACUAGGAUACGGUAGAGGUGAAUGGAAUUCCGAGUGUAGCGGUGAAAUGCGUAGAUAUUCGGAGGAACACCAAUUGCGAAGGCAGUUCACUGGACCGUGAUCGACGCUGAGGAGCGAAAGCUAGGGGAGCAAACAGGAUUAGAUACCCUGGUAGUCCUAGCUGUAAACGAUGGAUACUAGAUGUAGGAACUGGAUUGACGGUUUCUGUAUCGUAGCUAACGCGUUAAGUAUCCCGCCUGGGGAGUACGGUCGCAAGACUAAAACUCAAAGGAAUUGACGGGACCCCGCACAAGCGGCGGAGCAUGCGGCUUAAUUCGAUGAUACCCGUAGAACCUUACCUGGACUUGACAUAUAGGGAAAAACUGGAGAAAUCCAGUGUGCGUAAGCGCCCUAUACAGGUGGUGCAUGGCUGUCGUCAGCUUGUGUCGUGAGAUGUUGGGUUAAGUCCCGCAACGAGCGCAACCCCUGUCCUAUGUUGCCAGCAAGUAAUGUUGGGGACUCAUAGGAGACUGCCGGUGAUAAACCGGAGGAAGGUGGGGACGACGUCAAGUCAUCAUGCCCCUUAUGUCCAGGGCUGCACGCAUGCUACAAUGGCAAGUACAACGAGUCGCAAUACCGCGAGGUGGAGCAAAUCUCUUAAAGCUUGUCUCAGUUCGGAUAGGAGUCUGCAACUCGACUCCUUGAAGUUGGAGUCGCUAGUAAUCGCAAAUCAGCAAAGUUGCGGUGAAUACGUUCUCGGGGUUUGUACACACC
Molecule: ribosomal RNA, 1375 nt
Filed under: uncultured marine bacterium
Lineage: Bacteria
Description: bacterial SSU rRNA
Rfam family: Bacterial small subunit ribosomal RNA
Source: RNAcentral